This 245-nucleotide unclassified non-coding RNA is filed under the name Hevea brasiliensis (rubber tree). Lineage: Eukaryota; Viridiplantae; Streptophyta; Magnoliopsida; Malpighiales; Euphorbiaceae. The record is from RNAcentral.
AAGAUCUAAUCCAAUAUCUUAAAAUAAAUACAAGACUUGUCCAAAAUUUAGGAUAAAAUAAAUCAAAGACAGCUUUAUGAAGAAGAAAAUUUCAUUGACUAAAUAUGAAAACUUGUACAUAAUGAAAGUAGAAUGGGUAUUUAUAGAAUUAUAAAUCCUAAUCUUAGUAGAAAUAAAUUAAAGAGUUUUAAUCUAAAUAGAAAAUAUAUUUAUAUACUUAGAUUAAAUAGAAAUAAUAUUUUAGA